This 454-nucleotide long non-coding RNA is filed under the name Nicotiana benthamiana. RNAcentral describes it as "long non-coding RNA (NBEN_LNC028260)". The record is from RNAcentral. Lineage: Eukaryota; Viridiplantae; Streptophyta; Magnoliopsida; Solanales; Solanaceae.
AAUAUGGUUAUUUUCCAACAAUUAUUUUCCAAGUUGUUGUCCUGUUUCCACUUAGGCAGAGACAUAGAACCAUCAGGUUAGUACCUUUGACAUGCCAGAAUAUAACCUGUACAACUUGGUUCUCCAUCUGGAAAAAUCAUAUUAAUGAUGGUUGUUCACGUGUCUUAGGGUUUACACUAAGCAUUAGUACCCAUAAAAGUAAAUAUAUCACGAGAUUAAGGGGAGUCAAUACAUAGUAUAUAUACAAAUAGAAAUUUCUUUUACUUAUCUACAUAGUGUAUUUUUCCCGCGAGAGCUGAUUAAACUGUGUAUUUGAUUAUAAUUUGUAGGAAGAAUGUCUCCAACACAUAUCAAAAGAAAUCAAUCAGACACAAGCGAGGAAUCAAUUGCUGAUGAAGAUAUAAUCAGCAAAUUGCCAAGGGAUCUAAUAGAUUGCAUUCUAGGGAAACUGACU